UUUUUUGGUGACUUACGAUAACAGCGUGGUCCUCUGUUGCACAGAAAUUGCUGGUGUUGUUGAUGUCCAGGUGCAGUGACGCAUGGCUGCAGUCUCAGCUACUUGGGAGGCUGAAGCAGGAGAAUCUUGAGUUUGAGGCCAGGAAUGAUUUGAAAGUGAAGUGGUUUACGUUGUCUCCUCCCGUCUCAGUGAGACCCCAUCUCCGAAUAACUGAAACAAGGGAGCAGGAUGUAGCUCAGUGGUAGAUCACUGGCUUAACAUGCAUGAGGCCCUGGGUUCCGUGUGCAGUGUGGAAAAUUACUGAUUAUCACCAAGGAAGGGCAGACAAGACCUAGAGAUGUGGCCGGGAGAUCAGGGUGAUAUUUGAACAGAAUUCUGCUUGCGUGGACCUCAGGGCUGCAUAACUGCACCACGACAUGGGCAGCUCUGUGUUGCAGCAGUUUUUCUUUAUCUUUCUGCGCCCGGGAUCAAACCCAUCGUUCUGCAGAAACCCAGCCCUGCAUUAGUGCUGAGCCCCUCCCCUCGCACCCUGCUCCGGAUUUCCGCUUUGGAGAAAGAGUUCUGCUUUGUAGGCGGUCAGGAAAGAAGACUGAAAGAUGCUACUGUUAUGGGCACAUUCGUUUUCAGGUUCUUGUUACCCGCACAGACUUGAGCAGGACACUCAAAAGGCAGGAGCACGAAUGAGUCCCGGAGGUGACAGAAGGAGCUGCCGUGAAGCCCCCACUUUAUGUCCCAGCCGAUGGACAGCUGGACACAUCUGGAGGGGUCCUAGCUCUUCCCACUGGCCUUGACCUGGCACCCGCAUGCUGUCACCAGGCCUGCACAGCCCAGACCUGCCCCAGGCCACGAAGCAGGGACUCUGCACUUGGCUGCCAUGUGCCUGGGUACCUGUGUCCCUUUGGUGCCUCCUAAGGCUUUUCUGUACCAGCGCA
RNAcentral lists this long non-coding RNA (932 nucleotides) under Fukomys damarensis (Damara mole-rat). RNAcentral's name for it is "lncRNA (ENSFDAG00000022407.1)". Lineage: Eukaryota; Metazoa; Chordata; Mammalia; Rodentia; Bathyergidae. The record is from RNAcentral.